Long non-coding RNA from Acinonyx jubatus (cheetah), 1636 nucleotides. RefSeq lists it as uncharacterized. Lineage: Eukaryota; Metazoa; Chordata; Mammalia; Carnivora; Felidae. The record is from RefSeq and is a predicted model, not a curated record. The transcript is spliced from 3 exons.
CUUGGGCCGCGGGCGGGGAAUCGUCCCCGCCCCCCGCCUGACCUCCGGCCGUAGCGUGUAUGUCCGCGCCGCGGCAGCUCGGCUAGCUGCGAGCGUUUAAAGCCAGUGGCGGUGGACGCAGAACCGCCUUUGGCCGGCGCCGGUUAUGAGCUCGGACGCGGCGCUGGUGCGGGGAGAAAUGCGGGAAAGGGUGGAUAGGAGGCCGGCACCAGUCCCUUCGCAGCUAGCGUCUCCCGGGCGGCGCCGUCCCCAGAGGCGGGCGCGUCUCGGCGCAAACCUCACUUGCCGUACAUGUCGCACGCCAGGGUCUGCUGGCUCUGAGAUGCGGUCCUUCUCGGGCUCGGUGCCUUAACCAGCUGCGUUCCUUUGGGUGAUCGUGUCUCAGGGGAGCUGCGAAACGGGGCGCCUUUUUUUUUUUUUUUUUUAACUGGAGGCCGGCCAGAAAUAGGCUGAAAAGACCCCGGGAGGAAGAAACUCUUUAACAGCUAUCUUUAGCUUCUUAAGGUGAUUGAUUCUCAGAUGUCUACGUUUCAGAAAACCAACUGAGGAGCUUUUUCAAAGCAGAGAUACCAUGGCCACACCCCAGACCUGCAUCAGGAAGUGGGGGGAGAGGGCUGAUGGAUGUUGAAAAGUCGCUUCGGCGGAUUCCGAUGUGCGUCAGUUUGAGGAGCCACCACCGAUCUACCCAGUGUUGUGUCCUGAGAGUCCCAUGUAGUGUCCCGGCGCGAGUUGCGUUCCAAAUGCCCUAAUGAUAUCGAUGAUAGAAGCUUUCAGAAAGGUUUGUCUCUGUUUGAAAGCAAGUACCCAAGAUGUUUAUGCAGUGCAAGCGGCUGUUACAAUGUUAGGAUCACGAAGUGCUUUCGUCUUCUGACAGUGUUCCCAAGGAACUGGUAUUCUCUGAGCUCGCACAAGGCCUUAAAAAUAAGCCGCCUCAAAACAUUUGUCAUUUAUUCGCUCACAGAUACCGACCUCUUACUGUGUAGUAGGGGAGUGUUUUAGAGAUCACAGCAGAAAGCAAAGAUCUUUGCCUUGGAGGAGUUUGCAAUCUAACGGAGGAAGAUUGACAAUAAAUAUAUGCCAGGGAGUGAUAAAUACCAUGAAGACAAAAUAAGCAGAGUAGAAGAAAUCAGAAAUGACUGGGGAAGGCCUCUGUUGGUAGAUGAACAAGACUUGUGACUCUCUUGCAGAAGAGUAUUCCAGGCAGAGGAACACAUUGGUUUGACCUUCUCUUGUAAUUAAUACUUUUAUGAUGGUACAAAAUCAGAUUUGGGAAACCAAAGUUUAACAGAAGAAUCACAAUAAACUCAACGCUGCAUUACAGCUCGACGUGGGAUAAGGAGACCCUGGAACCCAAAGAACAGCGGUGAGAUUACAGGAGGCUGCAAGCAGAUGUGCCGCAAAGAUUUUCUACUGAAUCAGGAAGUCAUCUUUUAUACUCGUCAAUUCCUUACAAGUGGAGGGUUAGAACACAACUCUGGAGCUACACUACUGGAUCAAACACCUGGAUGACUUUCUAGCUAUAGAACUUCGACAAGUUUCUUCAGCACCCACUAUAAGUCUGUGUACGAGAAUGGCAGUACCUACUUCCUAGGGUUUCUGUGAGGAUCAAAUGAUUUUUGUAUUCACGUCAGUUCAC